Long non-coding RNA from Myotis myotis, 788 nucleotides. RefSeq lists it as uncharacterized. The transcript has 3 exons. Lineage: Eukaryota; Metazoa; Chordata; Mammalia; Chiroptera; Vespertilionidae. The record is from RefSeq and is a predicted model, not a curated record.
CUCGCGGAAGGUCACCUCGCGCACGGGUUGGACCUGGGGCAGGUUGGAGGAGUAGGAGUAUGUCAUUGGGCGCGAAGACGGGGUCUGGGGCAGGAAAGAAGGGAGGCUGGAGAAAUCUGGACCGGAGACGUAGAGGCCCCACAGCAGAGCUGAGCCCACCCGACUCCGGGGAAGACCUAGUGGGGGCUAAGGCCGCCCUGGAAGUCCAAGUCCGAGUUGCAUUUCUUGAAGAGGCUGAGCCAGGCAAAGCUUAACAUUGGCCCUGGAGACGGGUUUCCCAUGAGCUGUUCUUUUUCAAGAGCUCCACAGCGCGGAGCCAUCUCCAGAAAACAAUCCUCGGCGUGUAUUUCCUUUUAUCGUCAACCCGGAGCCCCACGGCAGCUAAUGCAAGAGGCCAAAAAUGUUUUGGAGGAAGAAAAACAAAGGCAGGAAGUGGCGGCGGACUGACGGUCUAGGCAGCCCUCGCAGGGCCGGCCCCGUCGCUCCCCGCGCAACAUUUUGGAGAUGGCCACCCGGAGAGGAGAAGGCUGGCGCCCGCGCCAACCUCGUCAGGCGGAAAUGGCUAACGAGGAGAUUUGCGCAGCAGAGCAGACCAAGCCUUUCCAAGGCUCGUUUGAUUUGGCCCUAAUGUCGGAGGGGGUAGUUGGGGGUUCUGCAGCGCCUCCGGAUCCUCCUGGGGCGGGCUGAGUGCGCCCUGGCGGUGAUGGGGUUAUUCUUGCGCCCGCGCUCCACGCGCCUUCCUAGGCGGGAUGUUGGAAUAAAGUGUGUCCAGGUGCCUCUGCCCAGCA